CACGUAGGGCGCAAGCGUUGUCCGGAAUUAUUGGGCGUAAAGAGCUCGUAGGCGGUCUGUUGCGUCCGCUGUGAAAACCCGGGGCUUAACCCCUGGCUUGCAGUGGAUACGGACAGACUAGAGGUAGGUAGGGGAGAAUGGAAUUCCCGGUGUAGCGGUGAAAUGCGCAGAUAUCGGGAGGAACACCAGUGGCGAAGGCGACUUUCUGGUCUGUAACUGACACUGAGGCGCGAAAGCGUGGGGAGCAAACAGG
Molecule: ribosomal RNA, 253 nt
Filed under: uncultured bacterium
Lineage: Bacteria
Description: partial 16S ribosomal RNA
Rfam family: Bacterial small subunit ribosomal RNA
Source: RNAcentral